Molecule: long non-coding RNA, 1091 nt
Organism: Carassius auratus (goldfish)
Lineage: Eukaryota; Metazoa; Chordata; Actinopteri; Cypriniformes; Cyprinidae
Exons: 5
Source: RefSeq, a predicted model, not a curated record
GCAGAGUCAUUUCCCAUGGAGAGCUCAUUCUGGACCAGAACCAAUUUAUCCAGAUCGUUCCAGUAACCGAUCUGCAGAUGAUAGAUGAUGAGAUGAUUAAUCCUGUGUGUGUGUGUAUCUAGAGUCCGUUCCAUGUCGAUGCCCUGAUUCCAAGGAGCAGCUGGGUUGGCCAGACAGUCUCCAGCAUUGCCUCUGCGAGAGAUGUCGAUCUUCUGUCUGCGCAGAUUCCGAAAUGCCUCCGCCAUCACUAGCACACCAUCGUACGUCAGUGAUGAUGAGUACUGAGGAGGAAAGUGAAGCUCUGUCGCAGAGAAUUACAGCCAGAGGACACGCUGUCUUCUACAUUUGUUAAUUUCCUCCAGCCCUCCAUCACUGGAUGAAGCGCGCCAGCACUCACCAGGUCUUCCAGCAGUCUUCGGUAACUGGCGUCGUUGAAGUUCUCCACACAGAUGGCACUGACCUGCCAACCGUUCUGACCCGCCUUCUCCAUGAUGGCCUGCAGGAUGGCAUAUCCUGACAAAAACAACACCAAAACACUCUAAUGUGUGUGUUUGCGCUCUGUCCAAGCAUCCCGUGUGUAUUCUGCAUCCGUGUGCCAGUUAUGUCAGCCAAGAGCAACAGAUGUCCUUUAAAUUGGCCCUUAGUCACACCGCAGGACUUUGGACAUCAGGACAAAUGAAAUAUCCAAUGCGCCUCUGUGUGUGUGUGUGUGUGUGUGUGUGUGUGUGUGAGCAGGUUCAGAACAACUGAUAGGACACAAACCACAACACAGACAAACCACAGAUGACCGUGAGCUCACACACACACACACACACACAAUAAUGAAAUGGCACCAGCUGUCCCGUGAGUAAACACAGACUGGCAGCAGAGAGCUGGAGAAUCCUCUGUACACAAACACCAGUCUGUGUGUGGACAGAACGGACGGACGGACGCUUGCCUCUCGCUCCGUGUGUAAACACACUCUAGACCUGCUGCUUUUCAAACACACUGUGAAUGUAUAGACAUGUGAUGUGCAACUAAAUACACAGGUUCAACCGAAGCACGGCAUGAGAGUCUUCAAAAGGCAAGAGUUCGGAGAAAUUCUGUGUCAG